Molecule: transfer RNA, 68 nt
Filed under: Psychopsis coelivaga
Lineage: Eukaryota; Metazoa; Arthropoda; Insecta; Neuroptera; Psychopsidae
Description: tRNA-Glu
Source: RNAcentral
AUUUAUAUAGUUUAAAUAAUAAAACAUUACAUUUUCAAUGUAAAAAUAAAAAUAAUUUUUUAUAAAUA